GAUGAACGCUGGCGGCGUGGCUAAUACAUGCAAGUCGAGCGAACGGACGAGAAGCUUGCUUUUCUGAUGUUAGCGGCGGACGGGUGAGUAACACGUGGAUAGCCUACCUAUAAGACUGGGAUAACUUCGGGAAACCGGAGCUAAUACCGGAUAAUAUUUUGAACCGCAUGGUUCAAAAGUGAAAGACGGUCUUGCUGUCACUUAUAGAUGGAUCCGCGCUGCAUUAGCUAGUUGGUAAGGUAACGGCUUACCAAGGCAACGAUGCAUAGCCGACCUGAGAGGGUGAUCGGCCACACUGGAACUGAGACACGGUCCAGACUCCUACGGGAGGCAGCAGUAGGGAAUCUUCCGCAAUGGGCGAAAGCCUGACGGAGCAACGCCGCGUGAGUGAUGAAGGUCUUCGGAUCGUAAAACUCUGUUAUUAGGGAAGAACAUAUGUGUAAGUAACUGUGCACAUCUUGACGGUACCUAAUCAGAAAGCCACGGCUAACUACGUG
Molecule: ribosomal RNA, 497 nt
Filed under: uncultured bacterium
Lineage: Bacteria
Description: partial 16S ribosomal RNA
Rfam family: Bacterial small subunit ribosomal RNA
Source: RNAcentral